AGAACGAACGCUGGCGGCAUGCCUAAUACAUGCAAGUCGAACGAGAUCUUCGGGUCUAGUGGCGCACGGGUGCGUAACGCGUGGGAAUCUACCCUUGGGUUCGGAAUAACAGUUGGAAACGACUGCUAAUACCGGAUGAUGACGAAAGUCCAAAGAUUUAUCGCCCAGGGAUGAGCCCGCGUAGGAUUAGCUAGUUGGUGAGGUAAAGGCUCACCAAGGCUACGAUCCUUAGCUGGUCUGAGAGGAUGAUCAGCCACACGGGGACUGAGACACGGCCCAGACUCGUACGGGAGGCAGCAGUAGGGAAUA
Molecule: ribosomal RNA, 309 nt
Filed under: uncultured soil bacterium
Lineage: Bacteria
Description: bacterial SSU rRNA
Rfam family: Bacterial small subunit ribosomal RNA
Source: RNAcentral